This 103-nucleotide ribosomal RNA is filed under the name Rosistilla ulvae. The record is from RNAcentral. Lineage: Bacteria; Pseudomonadati; Planctomycetota; Planctomycetia; Pirellulales; Pirellulaceae. RNAcentral also lists the same sequence under 1 other name.
CGGCGACCAUAUCGAAAAGGUCACACCUGUUCCCAUCCCGAACACAGUAGUUAAGCUUUUCGAGCCGAUGAUAGUGUAUACCAACGUGAAAGUAGGUAUCGCC